Non-coding RNA from Camellia sinensis, 783 nucleotides. The record is from RefSeq and is a predicted model, not a curated record. NCBI's taxonomy places the organism in Eukaryota, Viridiplantae, Streptophyta, Magnoliopsida, Ericales, Theaceae.
AACAUAGAAUCGGUUAGGCACAGAGAAAAGAAGAGAAUGCAAAAUCGCAGGGGAAAGGAAGGGUCUAAGCAUCGAAUACUAUUCAAAACAUUCACUCCUUCUAAUAGCUGAACAUAGAAUACUGUUCAAGGAGGAAAACCAAGAAGAGAGGGAGAAGAGAGAGGCUUCGAACGGUAAGGGUUUCAAAUGGUGCUCUCUCUCUCUCUCUUCACCCCACUCUCAUACUCUCUCUCAUAUGCCCUACCACACCACCAAUUUCUAGGGUUUAUAUAUCUCGUUGUGGCAAAUUGACCCAAUUGAGAGUUCUGAGAAGCCAUGGACGAAGCGACACCACUCGUUGCUGAACACUCGAAUUCUGAAAUCCUAACCAAGAGCCUUCUUGUUGGUUUUCUUGGUUCAUGGUGUUGCUCAGAACUUGGAGAAUAUUAUCAAAACUACAACGUGUUUGACAAAAGUCCCAAGUGAGGUGAGCUUCCUCUUGCUUUGAUUAUCUUUUCUAAUGAACCAAACAGAGUAUUUUUCUCAUUUGAUUACUUUGGUUGAUUGUAUGUCACAAUUUUUAGCCUAAUUUGUACUCUUUUUUUUAUUUGUUAAAAAAUUAUUAUUGUACUGUGAUUUACUGUAGAGGUCUAAAUGUGUGAUCUUUGAGUGAACUGAACUCUUAAUUCUGGAACCUUUUGUGACCACUACUAUUGUCAUGUUGCUUUUUUCAGUUAUAUGUUUAUAAUCACCUCAAAAAUAAUGCAGCGUUCAUUGCUUAUGUCUUUUAUGCAUCCAUUCUUA